Molecule: ribosomal RNA, 497 nt
Filed under: uncultured bacterium
Lineage: Bacteria
Description: partial 16S ribosomal RNA
Rfam family: Bacterial small subunit ribosomal RNA
Source: RNAcentral
GAUGAACGCUGGCGGCGUGCCUAAUACAUGCAAGUCGAGCGAACGGACGAGAAGCUUGCUUCUCUGAUGUUAGCGGCGGACGGGUGAGUAACACGUGGAUAACCUACCUAUAAGACUGGGAUAAUUUCGGGAAACCGGAGCUAAUACCGGAUAAUAUUUUGAACCGCAUGGUUCAAAAGUGAAAGACGGUCUUGCUGUCACUUAUAGAUGGAUCCGCGCUGCAUUAGCUAGUUGGUAAGGUAACGGCUUACCAAGGCAACGAUGCAUAGCCGACCUGAGAGGGUGAUCGGCCACACUGGAACUGAGACACGGUCCAGACUCCUACGGGAGGCAGCAGUAGGGAAUCUUCCGCAAUGGGCGAAAGCCUGACGGAGCAACGCCGCGUGAGUGAUGAAGGUCUUCGGAUCGUAAAACUCUGUUAUUAGGGAAGAACAUAUGUGCAAGUAACUGUGCACAUCUUGACGGUACCUAAUCAGAAAGCCACGGCUAACUACGUG